GGCACUUUUAAAAAAUCCAUAUCCACCUUGUGUGCAAUGUCAUCUCACUGGAGGCCAGCGGCUGUAAAAAGCCCGUUUGGUCACCUUUGGGAUUUAUAUCUACUCAGAACUUUAGUGAUUUUGUCUGAAAAAUAUUAUGAAUAACUUAAUUCAAAAUACAACUUUCAACAACGGAUCUCUUGGCUCUCGCAUCGAUGAAGAACGCAGCGAAAUGCGAUACGUAAUGUGAAUUGCAGAAUUCAGUGAAUCAUCGAAUCUUUGAACGCAUAUUGCGCUCUCUGGUAUUCCGGAAGGUACACCUGUUUGAGUGUCAUUAAAUUCUCAACCAUUCAGCCUUUUCGGAGGCUUGUCUGGCUUGGAUGUGAGGGUUGCGGGCUGCUUCACGGCGGUCGGCUCCCUUUAAAUACAUUAGCUGGGGAAUAGUACAUGGUUCAAGUGCUUCGAUGCUUGAAGGUCUCCUGGUGUGAUAAUUAUCUACGCCGUUGACUUAGUCGUUGCUUGUAUUGGCCGUAGAAUUUCUCUGCUUCUAACUGUCUCGCAAGGGACUAGUCCGCUCUAGGGCUAUAACGACUAUUGUGACCUCAAAUCAGGUGGGACUACCCGCUGAACUUAAGCAUAUCAAUAA
RNAcentral lists this ribosomal RNA (625 nucleotides) under uncultured fungus. Its description in RNAcentral is "eukaryotic LSU rRNA". The stretch from base 160 to 313 matches the Rfam family "5.8S ribosomal RNA". The record is from RNAcentral. Lineage: Eukaryota; Fungi.